AUCAGAUAAAAGACUGUCUGUCCCACAUGAAGGAGUGGGACUUUGGCAGGGAGUGUAGUAGCCUAGGUGAAAUGAAGGACACAAGGAGAUCCAUGUGAAGAGCAGCUACAAUCCAAAGAAUCCAGUUCUGUAUUCCUGACCGGUACCCAUGCUUAGUAAGAAAACACCAAAAGCUCUUGGUCUGCUGAUUUGAGGUGCUAGUCAAUGGCUGAGCUGUGUCCCCAUUCCUUGCUGCCAUCGGAAGAGGAAAGACAAGAAGAAAGGAUUUUGUUGGUACACAUGCAGUUAUAGAAAUAAUCAGAAGAUCCUGUGUAUCCUUUACCUAGAUUCCCC
Molecule: non-coding RNA, 333 nt
Organism: Castor canadensis (American beaver)
Lineage: Eukaryota; Metazoa; Chordata; Mammalia; Rodentia; Castoridae
Source: RefSeq, a predicted model, not a curated record